UGACAAUGAAUAUAUAAUUAAAUGACAAUGAGCCAAAGACUCUAACCUAGUAGAAGGAAGAGGACCAUCUAUGUUAAUUUGAUUUUGAAUUUAGUCAAGCAAGGCACUCAGAGGCACCAACCCAAAAGAUGACAGCAAGGUUGAAUGGUGACCUUUCAACCUUGAGUACAAGAUACUCUCAGGUAUAAAAGCAA
Octopus sinensis (East Asian common octopus) is the source of this 194-nucleotide long non-coding RNA. RefSeq lists it as uncharacterized. The record is from RefSeq and is a predicted model, not a curated record. The transcript is spliced from 3 exons. Lineage: Eukaryota; Metazoa; Mollusca; Cephalopoda; Octopoda; Octopodidae.